CUCAUUCCUACAGAGACUAUUCCAUCAGAGGUAGUUUCCCUCUGUUGGAUGUGCUUUUCAAACUUAAAAUGUUUUCUACUUUGUAUCUUCUCAAGAACUCUUCACUAUGGCUCCUAGGAUGACUCUAGAGCAGAAGGGGACUCUUUGGCUGGACGUGACUGGACACCUGGGAGAGGCAGCAGUGUGCCCAGUUCAGCUCUCUGCAACCAGGAAAUCCUGUGGCUUCUGAAGAAUGGUUAAGUGCAGGGCAUGGAGUCACGAAGAAUGUGAGGACCUGCAGGACUCACUGUGGGGACCUACAGGACACAGAGAGGGAGGAGAGAAAAUGGUGACCAUGAGAAGACAUUGGAACUGGAAGGCUUCUAAAGAGGGCCCUGGCCAUGCAACAUGUGCAGCACACAGCAAGGGAGGUACAUGUGUGACAAAAGACCAUCCUGUCCUUGUGUCCAGGGAUCAGGGGAGCAGACUACAGAGGGAGGGCCCACAAGUCAGCCAAAUCCUCGACCAAGUAUGAACUUUGGGAGCAUCAGCACACAGAAUGGUGUGGGAAGAGACCUUUGCUAUGUGUUUUUUUUUUUUUUUUUUUUUUUAAGCGAGCUACAGUACUAUGGCAAGUUUUGCUGAUUAAAUCUGUUGACAUAAUUUUGUGCCCAAAGAGGUCACAAGAUGGACAUGUGGGG
This 680-nucleotide long non-coding RNA is filed under the name Cavia porcellus (domestic guinea pig). RNAcentral describes it as "lncRNA (ENSCPOG00000039901.1)". The record is from RNAcentral. Lineage: Eukaryota; Metazoa; Chordata; Mammalia; Rodentia; Caviidae.